Molecule: long non-coding RNA, 1559 nt
Organism: Alligator sinensis (Chinese alligator)
Lineage: Eukaryota; Metazoa; Chordata; Crocodylia; Alligatoridae
Exons: 2
Source: RefSeq, a predicted model, not a curated record
UUUCCCCGCCUCCUCCUCGGCCCUGUUUCCGGGGCCGCCUUUUAUCUCAGCCAGGCGGCGUCUCCCGCUGGCGUCGCCCGGCCCCAGCUGGAUAUAAGCGCGGCUCACAAACCGUGCUGGCGGUCUCCCCGUGCGCGUGUCCCUACUCGCUCCGGCCUCUGUGUGGGGAAAAUGGCUCCCGGCCCCCCAGUGGACUGAGGAGAGUUCAAUGCAGCCUGUAGACUUAGAAUCCUGUGCCCCACAGGGUAUCCAAGGUGGAAUUCGGUGCACGGUAGUCCGUCUCUGCCCUCUCACCUUCUGGGUCCAGAACCUUCAACCAAUCAAAGAAUGGGUCUAUCUUACCAACCAGACCUACGCGUGUUGGGCCCUACCUCCCAAUAUCACGGCAUACCUGUCAGGUUCCCAAUUACACAACUGUUCCGGAUGUGUGCCAGUAAAUUCAUCAACCUGGUGGGCCACACAACAGUCAGGAAAGGACUCCUGUGAUGCCUCACACUACCAUGCUCCAAUAAUCCUCAACUCUACUGAGGAAUGGCUAAAUUUCACAGCCCUCCGCAGAUGGCAAAGCAUUAUGAGCAACUGGUAUGAAGAGAGACCCCUGCUGUCUGGGAAAUCAGUAGCCCAAUUGUUAGAACAUACUGACCAAACAGAUAAAGAGCUCCUUAGGGUAUAUUGGCAAGGGGACACCAUAAUGCAAAUAGGAUCACAAAUUGUUCAAGUGAGAGUGUGUGAAAGAGGCUGGUAUGAGUGGUUCACUCUGGGAGGGAUAUUAAAUUGGCUGGCGUAACCUGAAACCUGGGUUUUUCUUAUAGCCAUUAUUAUAUGCAUAUAUACAGGCUAAUGGCAUAUGUUUAAGGGGUUGAUAUGUAUAAGGGGUUGAUUGUUUAAAAAGGUACAAAAUUUUCAGGUGGCCUAUGCACAUCUAGCCACAGUUGAGGAUGACCAACUCAACAAAAACGAAGUCAAAGUCAUCGCCCUGUAGAAAAUGCUAAGUCGGGGAGUGGAAUGUGGGGGAAUUCCCAGUGGGGUUUGGGGAAUUUCCAUGGGAAUUUCCAUAGCUCAGUCUUUCAGGUAAACGACUAUGCAUUUUCUCCUAAGCGAUGAUGUGCGCUUUCUGAGGCUUGUAUCCAUAAGGGACGGCAUCUUCCAAAUAAGGGCAUGCUUCAAAACCUAAGAUUGUGAGUGGCUCAGCCAACAGUAUAAAGUCUCAGCGCGCCCAAACAGCGGUGGAGACAUUCGAGAUCGACACUGGGACCAUCACCUUUGACUCGAUCAGUCAGAGGCUGAGGUCACGACGAGGAUCGCACUGGACCAUGCCUCACUGGCCAGAGUCAGCUCACAAACUCGGGGAUGCCUGACUUGUGCGAGGCUAACAAAGCCUAAUUGGACAGAAAGCGUGUACGCUUGGCAUCUGGCUCUGACCAAUAAGUGCCAUUGAUAUAUGUUUAUGUUUGUGGUGUUAUUGUAUGUUAUAGUUACAUUUUGUGUUUUAUUGUUUUUUGUAACCAUCCCUUUGUUGUUAAACACGGUUGUUUAAAUAAAUCUUCUCCAUGAUCUAA